ACAAGGGUACUAAUUAAAGCAGCGAUUACACCAGUUCUCGUCCAGUGACUGAAGUUAAGCAAUGUUGGACGUUGUUAGUACUUGGAUGUGUGACCGUCUGGGAGAUCCAACGUUGGACCUUGUU
This 124-nucleotide ribosomal RNA is filed under the name Olea europaea subsp. europaea. The record is from RNAcentral. Lineage: Eukaryota; Viridiplantae; Streptophyta; Magnoliopsida; Lamiales; Oleaceae.